RNAcentral lists this ribosomal RNA (466 nucleotides) under Vreelandella stevensii. RNAcentral's name for it is "partial 16S ribosomal RNA". It matches the Rfam family "Bacterial small subunit ribosomal RNA", at positions 338 to 796 of the family's 1533-position model. Lineage: Bacteria; Pseudomonadati; Pseudomonadota; Gammaproteobacteria; Oceanospirillales; Halomonadaceae. The record is from RNAcentral.
CCUACGGGUGGCAGCAGUGGGGAAUAUUGGACAAUGGGGGGAACCCUGAUCCAGCCAUGCCGCGUGUGUGAAGAAGGCCCUCGGGUUGUAAAGCACUUUCAGUGAGGAAGAACGCCUGGUGGUUAAUACCCAUCAGGAAAGACAUCACUCACAGAAGAAGCACCGGCUAACUCCGUGCCAGCAGCCGCGGUAAUACGGAGGGUGCGAGCGUUAAUCGGAAUUACUGGGCGUAAAGCGCGCGUAGGUGGCUUGAUAAGCCGGUUGUGAAAGCCCCGGGCUCAACCUGGGAACGGCAUCCGGAACUGUCAAGCUAGAGUGCAGGAGAGGAAGGUAGAAUUCCCGGGGGAGCGGUGAAAUGCGUAGAGAUCGGGAGGAAUACCAGUGGCGAAGGCGGCCUUCUGGACUGACACUGACACUGAGGUGCGAAAGCGUGGGUAGCAAACAGGAUUAGAUACCCGGGUAGUCC